UCAAUAGACCGUGAAACCGUUGGGAGGGAAGCUCAGGGUGUCGAGGUUGUCGUGCUCCGCUGAUGUUCAGCCGGCGGCGGUCGGGGUUACCUGCCGCUGUCGGUGCAUUCUUCACGGAGUUGGACCGUCAGUUGGGAAGAGGUCGGGUCCUGUUCUGUCGGCAGUCGGGAGGUAAGCCUUGCGGUUCCUCCGUGUUCCCAGGGUGACGUAUAGCCGUUCUGCCGUGGUCCCGGCCGUCUUUCAGGUGCGUCGGACGUCCGUUCGUCCGGAAUGGGAAGGUGCAGUCUCCCCUCGGUUGGGAGUUCGGGCUGGUGGUGGAGUUGCUUCGCUGUGACGAGUCGUGCUCCGUGCCUUCUCCGUUCCGCUUCGGCGUGCGGGGAGGAGUACGGCACGGCCGCCACGUGUCGUUGCCUCUCGCUGUCAUGUUCCAAGUGCUGUGCCAAGGUGACUGGCGAAGAGUCGUUACCCUGUGC
Molecule: small RNA, 473 nt
Filed under: Demospongiae sp. GW7663
Lineage: Eukaryota; Metazoa; Porifera; Demospongiae
Description: partial large subunit ribosomal RNA
Source: RNAcentral